RNAcentral lists this ribosomal RNA (467 nucleotides) under uncultured bacterium. RNAcentral describes it as "partial 16S ribosomal RNA". It matches the Rfam family "Bacterial small subunit ribosomal RNA", at positions 28 to 523 of the family's 1533-position model. The record is from RNAcentral.
GAUGAAUGCUGGCGGCGUGCCUAACACAUGCAAGUCGAGCGGUAACAGGAGUAGUUUACUACUUGCUGACGAGCGGCGGACGGCUGAGUAACGCGUGGGAACGUGCCCCAGAGUGAGGGAUAACUGCCCGAAAGGGUGGCUAAUACCGCAUAUGGUCUUCGGAUUAAAGGAUUUAUCCGCUUUGGGAGCGGCCCGCGUUAGAUUAGGUAGUCGGUAGGGUAAUGGCCUACCAAGCCUACGAUCUAUAGCUGGUCUGAGAGGAUGACCAGCCAGACUGGAACUGAGACACGGUCCAGACUCCUACGGGAGGCAGCAGUGAGGAAUCUUCCACAAUGGGCGAAAGCCUGAUGGAGCAACGCCGCGUGAAGGAUGAAGGCCCUCGGGUUGUAAACUUCUUUUAUAAGUGAAGAAUAUGACGGUAACUUAUGAAUAAGCACCGGCUAACUACGUGCCAGCCGCCGCCGUAA